AAUUUUGGACAAUGGGGGCAACCCUGAUCCAGCCAUCCCGCGUGUAUGAUGAAGGCCAUCGGGGUGUAAAGUACUCUUGGCAUAGAAGAACAUGCAUCCCCUCAUACCGCCUACUGCUGCCGGUCCCGGCCGUAUAAGCACCGCCUACCUACGUUCCAGCAGCCGCGGUAAUACGUAGGGUGCAAGCGUUAAUCGGAAUUACUGGGCGUAAAGCGUGUGUAGGCGGUUCGGAAAGAAAGAUGUGAAAUCCCAGGGCUCAACCUUGGAACUGCAUUUUUAACUGCCGAGCUAGAGUAUGUCAGAGGGGGGUAGAAUUCCACGUGUAGCAGUGAAAUGCGUAGAUAUGUGGAGGAAUACCGAUGGCGAAGGCAGCCCCCUGGGAUAAUACUGACGCUCAGACACGAAAGCGUGGGGAGCAAACAGG
This 424-nucleotide ribosomal RNA is filed under the name uncultured bacterium. RNAcentral describes it as "partial 16S ribosomal RNA". It matches the Rfam family "Bacterial small subunit ribosomal RNA", at positions 360 to 776 of the family's 1533-position model. The record is from RNAcentral.